AAAAUCUUCCGUCGCCUCUCCACACUCUCUCUCUACAAACCCUCUCUUCUUUACCUUCUCUAUAAAACAAAACCAUUGUUGACCUCCAUCGCCGCUCCGCCUCGCCUCCCUCCAUCGCUGCUCCGCAUCUCUCCGUUCAUCCCCCAACAGCAGCUGCCCAGCGCCCCUACCGGCUCUCCUUCUCAAACAGCCACCGCCGCCGUUCUCUCUUUCACCGGUGAGCUCCUCUCUCGCCACCAAUUGUUGCUGCAGCCAGCUCUACAAUCAAGCCUAUUCCAGCCCAAUGCCAUUCUGACAAGCACCAUUUUCUAAUCCUUUGUUUCUUCAUUUUUAACAUAUUUUUUUAUCUGAAAUUGACAAAAUUUGACUGAAGUUCUUGUUUGAUUUCUUCUUAUUUGGAUUUUUUUACAUCUUUAGAUUGUUAUGUAUGAAAACCCCAAAAUUUAUGAGCUAUGAUCAACCCUAGACGCAGAAGGAGCUGAAUAAGUAACUGAAAGUGAAAAAAAUUAGUCUUUCUAGGCUUAUUAAAACUAAAGUAAAGGAGAAUAAUAUGAAGAAUAGGCUCACAUAUAUUACACUAGGUUGAGGGAUCUUAUACAAUUAUAGUGUUGCUCUAAAUGGUAGAAUUUGACUGACUUGGGAUCAAAAUUGGUAUGAAGUACAUAUUCUUGGCACCUCUCCUCCACUACUACAUUGUAUGAUUAUAGAUAGAUGCAAAGACCACCUGGUUGUACUCACUGUCAUGUAUGGUUUUAAUACAUAGAUCAGAGGAAGUAUUUAGCAGGAUCUUCAGUUACACCAGUAGAAAUUAGAGACUUUACUGAGUGUGUGUAGAAUAUCGGAGUUACUAAACUGCCCUGGAAGGGAUAAUACUACACCUGAACUAAUUAGAAACAUUGAAUGGACAGAAUUUCUAGUAAGAUUGACAUAGCAUUUGGCAACUUUUCAUUUCUUAGUAAUUUUCAAUGACUUUGACUAUUCAAGAUUAUCAUAAGAAUGUAAAAGUGUCAUUUAAAUUCUUCAAUGUGUGAUCUUACAUCUUUCUUGACCAUGGUGGAUACUAUAUCAGUAGUUUGUUCCUUGUCAAAAAUUGUCUCAGGAGUUUUUCAUAUUUUAGAGUCUAGUUUGUCAAGCUAUCAUAUUUUAUAGUCAAGUUUGUCAAGGUGUUAUUUUUUCCUCGAAGUCCUAUCUGUUGGAAGAUUUUGUCAUUAUUUUUCUUUCUCUAUUUUCCUUCUCAUGGGUAUGUAGAUUUGCUACAGGCGGUACACAAGGUUUUAUGGAAUCUCAGAAAGGACUGUUGUAGAUUUGGUUCAUCAUUCAUUGACAAGUGAGCGUCUCCUGUUCUGCUUAGGCUCAUGUUUGAUUUCUUAGUUGUGCUUACUAAUUGUUUGGACUAUUCUUUUACAUUGAUCAAAUUAUAAGCUGUGGAAAGAAGAAAUUGAGAAAUGGCAAAAUCCUAUCCUUAAUGAUGAUAAGCUGCCGAAAUGGUUAGUUUGAUAGAGAUUUUGUAAUUGUUUUGGAAUAGCAUUAUACUUUUUUUGUGUGUGUUAGCUAUCAUUACGAGCAUAAGCAUUUUUGAGAAUGGAAGGUUAGAAUAAAAUUAACACGUAAUACUUUGCAAUAAAAUCCGUACAGCUUACCAACCCUGCAUACAUCUAUUUAAUAGGGCUCAAUGGAAGGAAAAAAAUAGGUGACACCAAUUAGUUGGAAAUUUUUUUUAGUCAUGAUAGUAUAUUUUCUUCAAAUCCCAAGCUUGCUAGGACUUCUUUAGCCUUUAGAAAAUAUAUGGGACUUCAUCUAGUACUUACUACUUUUAUUGUAAUAUUAGUUCAAGAUGACUUUAAAUAGAGAAACAUGAUUAGUGAGGAUUCAUAUAGCCAAGACCAACUUGUUUGGAAUUGAGACGUAGUUGUAGUUGUAUUACUUUUUUACUAGUCUUUUCUUUCUUUCUUCUAGCUAUAGUCAACUUGUGUAAUUUUUGCUGCUAUUUACAUAGUUCACUUUUCACUGUUUUGCUUUGGACAUUUUUAAGAGUUGUCUGAAUAUUGCUACUUUAUACCCUCUGUUCACAUAACAGUUGAAAUAUGUAUGGUACGAAUGCUGAUAUUACGACACUGAAUUUUAUAGGUACAAGUUUAUGCUAUUUAACGAGGUGUAUUUUCUGUUGGGUGGUGGGAUAGUAUGGAUUGGUAUUCAUCUUCUUUUCUUUUUUUCAAUUCUACACUUACUAUUGUCUUAAAUUCUUAGAAGAUUGCUGAGUUAUAAGUUCUAUAUUGAAUCUAUCAAUUUGCCACUUGAAAUACCUAUUGGAUCUAAAUGGACUAUUGAGUGUGAUUCCUAGACAACACAGUUGAGUAGAGGGAAAUGUGUACUAGUCACUUGAGAAGUGGAUUAGUGACUUUAAAAUGGUUUAGUGUAGUUCUUGAAAGGUGAACUUAUGUUUUGAAAUUAGUAAAGUGUAAUCACUUGAAAUUGGUUUAGUGUUGACACAUGAAAUGAGAAUUCAUGACUUGAAAAUGGUUGGGCUUAGUCACUUGAAAUGCGAAUUAGAGAGUUGAAAAUGGUUAAGUGUAGUGUUUUGAAAUGUGUACUAGUCACUUGAGAAGUGAAUUAGCGACUUCAAAUUUAGUGUAGUUCUUGAAAGGUGAACUUGUUUUGAAAUUAGUAAAGUGUUAUCAUUUGAAAAAUGUGAAUUCAUGACUUGAAAUUGGUUUAGUGUUGAUAGUUGAAAUGUGAAUUCAUGACUUGAAAAUGAUUAAGUUUAGUCACUUGAAAUGUGAAUUAGAGAGUUGAAAAUGGUUGAGUGUAGUGUUUUGAAAUGUGUACUAAUCACUUGAGAAGUGGAUUAGCGACUUAAAAACGGAUUAGUGUAGUUCUUGAAAGGUGAAAUUGUGUUUUGAAAUUAGUAAAGUGUAAUCACUUGAAAAUGUGACUUGAAAAUGGUUGGGCUUAGUCACAUGAAAUGUGAAUUAGAGUUGAAAAUGAUUAAGUGUAGUGUUUUGAAAUGUGUACUAGUCACUUGAGAGGUGAAUUAGCGACUUGAAAAUAUUUUAGUGUAGGUACUUGAAAGGCACUUGAGAAGUGGAUUAGCGACUUAAAAAUGGAUUAGUGUAGUUCUUGAAAGGUGAAAUUGUGUUUUGAAAUUAGUAAAGUGUAAUCACUUGAAAAUGUGACUUGAAAAUGGUUAGGCUUAGUCACAUGAAAUGUGAAUUAGAGAGUUGAAAAUGAUUAAGUGUAGUGUUUUGAAAUGUGUACUAGUCACUUGAGAGGUGAAUUAGUGACUUGAAAAUAUUUUAGUGUAGGUACUUGAAAGGUGAACUUGUGUUUUGAAAUUAGUUAAGUGUAAUCACUUGAAAAUGUGAAUUCAUGACAUGAAAUUGGUUUAGUGUUUAUACUUGAAAUGUGAAUUCAUGACUUGAAAAUGAUUAAGUUUAGUCACUUGAAAUAUGAAUUAGAGAGUUGAAAAUGGUUAAGUGUAGUGUUUUCAAAUAUGUACUAGUCACUUGAGAAGUGGAUUAGCAACUUAAUAAUGGUUUAGUGUAGUUUUUGAAAGGUGAACUUGUGUUUUAAAAUUAGUAAAGUAUAAUCAUUUAAAAAUGUUAAUUCAUAACAUGAAAUUGGUUUAGUGUUGACAGUUGAAAUGUGACUUCAUGACUUGAAAAUGGUUAGGUUUAUUCACUUGAAAUGUGAAUUAGAGAGUUGAAAAUGGUCAAGUGUAGUAUUUUGGAAUCUGUACUAGUGACGUCAAAGUGAUCAAGUGUAGUCACUUGAGAAGUGAAUUAGCGACUUGAAAAUGGUUUAGUGUAGUUACUUGAAAGGUGAACUUGUAUUUUGAAAUUAGUAUAGUGUAAUCACUUGAAAGUGUAAAUUCAUGACUUGAAAUUGAUUUAGUGUUGUCACUUGAAAUGUGAAUUCAUGACUAAAAAAUGGUUAAGUGUAGUGUUUUGAAUUGUUUCCUAGUGACUUCAAAAUGAUCAAGUCACCUCUACCUUCACCUCCUCCUAUAGAAGAAGAUAUUGAUACAGAUUUGAUUGGUCUAGUUCCUGGAGAUAUGGACAUGCUUGGUAGAGUGUUCAUCGAUCCUGAUGGAUCUUCAUAAGUUUAUUUUUCAUUAAAUAGGUUUAUUAUUUUCAUUAAUAAAAUAUUUAAGUUUACAUACUUAUUAUGUUAUUUACAGGUGGUAUCCCACGUCAAAAGAAGUUAAUGAGGCUGUAAGGGAAAGCGUUAUGAAACUUUUUACAUUUCCUUGGCACGAGUGGUGGGACAUUCCAAUAGUCUCUAAACAAGCCAUGUUUCAAGAGUUUAAGGUAUAUUAGAUUUAAUUAUUAUUUACCACUUCUACAAUUUUUGAGAGACAUGCUGCUAUGUCACAUCAGAUUACACAUCUUAGACAUGCCUUGACAUAGGUCGUUGCUCCUAAUUCAAGUAGCGAAGAGAAAACACAGAGUGAUGAGGAGUUUGUUGGGGCUACUCCUUAGUGUUGUUGGACUUGACUUUUAGAUAAUUUUUAGAUAUUGUUGAACUUAGCUUUCUAUUAGUGAAAAAUCUUCAGGAGUGUAAGUAUUUUGAAUGUUGUUGAAUUCAUUGUUUAAGUGUUGUUAUUUUAAAUUGUUUUAAUGAUUUGUUGAUGUAGUGUGUUGUAUGAUUAUUGUAAUAAUGUGUUGCAUGAGGAUGUAUAUGUUGAAUUGCAUUUUUAUUUGACAGGUGGGAUGCAGAAAAUGCAGAUUUCUACAUCAAAAAAAUACAGAAAAGCGAUGAUG
This 4760-nucleotide long non-coding RNA is filed under the name Capsicum annuum. RNAcentral's name for it is "long non-coding RNA (CANN_LNC001602)". Lineage: Eukaryota; Viridiplantae; Streptophyta; Magnoliopsida; Solanales; Solanaceae. The record is from RNAcentral.